CCCCAGACUCCUACGGGAGGCAGCAGUGGGGAAUAUUGCACAAUGGGCGAAAGCCUGAUGCAGCAACGCCGCGUGAAGGAAGACGGUUUUCGGAUUGUAAACUUCUGUUCUUAGUGAAGAAUAAUGACGGUAACUAAGGAGCAAGCCACGGCUAACUACGUGCCAGCAGCCGCGGUAAUACGUAGGUGGCAAGCGUUGUCCGGAAUUACUGGGUGUAAAGGGAGCGUAGGCGGCAAGGUAAGCGAUAUGUGAAAGCCUUAAGCUUAACUAAAGGAUUGCAUAACGAACUAUCUAGCUAGAGUACAGGAGAGGAAAGCGGAAUUCCUAGUGUAGCGGUGAAAUGCGUAGAUAUUAGGAAGAACACCAGUGGCGAAGGCGGCUUUCUGGACUGAAACUGACGCUGAGGCUCGAAAGCGUGGGGAGCGAACAGGAUUAGAUACCCGAGUAA
Molecule: ribosomal RNA, 448 nt
Filed under: uncultured bacterium
Lineage: Bacteria
Description: bacterial SSU rRNA
Rfam family: Bacterial small subunit ribosomal RNA
Source: RNAcentral